GAUCACCCCAACAUUUCAGGCACCCAACGUGGGGCUAUGAACACCCCGGUGAAGGAACACUAGAGCAUGUGGAAGCAGAAGACGCAUUGUCAGAGGACACCUGAGGACAACUGAAAGAAGCUCGGGAAAAGUUCAGAACACCAGCAACCUACAUUGGAUGGGACCACUUCUGACUCCAGGGAUUGCCACUCAAAAUCUUUCUGAGAUUAACACCCACAUCCAAUAAGGUUUGUGGUCUCUGAAAACUUAUCUACACUUAUUGGACUCUGCUAGUGCACAAAGGAGAAAAAAAGG
Rhinopithecus roxellana (golden snub-nosed monkey) is the source of this 294-nucleotide long non-coding RNA. RefSeq lists it as uncharacterized. The record is from RefSeq and is a predicted model, not a curated record. The transcript has 3 exons. Lineage: Eukaryota; Metazoa; Chordata; Mammalia; Primates; Cercopithecidae.